GACGAACGCUGGCGGCGUGCUUCAUACAUGCAAGUCGAACGAGAAGCUCACUUCGGUGAGUGGAAAGUGGCGGACGGGUGAGUAAAAUGUAGAGAAUCUGCCCUAGAGAUGGGGACAACAGUUGGAAACGACUGCUAAUACCCAAUAUGAGCGUAGCUGAGAUGCUAUUCUUGAAAACUCCGGUGCUCUGGGAUGAGUCUGCAUCUGAUUAGCUAGUUGGUGGGGUAAAGGCCUACCAAGGCGACGAUCAGUAGCUGGUCUGAGAGGAUGAUCAGCCACACUGGGACUGAGACACGGCCCAGACUCCUACGGGAGGCAGCAGUGGGGAAUAUUGGACAAUGGGCGAAAGCCUGAUCCAGCCAUGCCGCGUGAGUGAUGAAGGCCUUCGGGUUGUAAAGCUCUUUCGCACGCGACGAUGAUGACGGUAGCGUGAGAAGAAGCCCCGACUAACUUCGUGCCAGCCGCCGCCGUAA
RNAcentral lists this ribosomal RNA (473 nucleotides) under uncultured bacterium. RNAcentral's name for it is "partial 16S ribosomal RNA". It matches the Rfam family "Bacterial small subunit ribosomal RNA", at positions 28 to 523 of the family's 1533-position model. The record is from RNAcentral.